This 468-nucleotide ribosomal RNA is filed under the name uncultured bacterium. Its description in RNAcentral is "partial 16S ribosomal RNA". It matches the Rfam family "Bacterial small subunit ribosomal RNA", at positions 28 to 507 of the family's 1533-position model. The record is from RNAcentral.
GACGAACGCUGGCGGCGUGCUUAACACAUGCAAGUCGAACGGAAAGUCCCUGCUUUUGUGGGGUUCUCGAGUGGCGAACGGGUGAGUAACACGUGAGUAACCUGCCCUUGACUUUGGGAUAACUUCAGGAAACUGGGGCUAAUACCGGAUAGGAGCUCCUGCUUCAUGGUGGGGGUUGGAAAGUUUCGGCGGUUGGGGAUGGACUCGCGGCUUAUCAGCUUGUUGGUGGGGUAGUGGCUUACCAAGGCUUUGACGGGUAGCCGGCCUGAGAGGGUGACCGGCCACAUUGGGACUGAGAUACGGCACAGACUCCUAUGGGAGGCAGCAGUGGAGAAUAUUGCACAAUGGGAGGAAGCCUGAUGCAGCACCGCCGCGUGCGGGAUGACGGCCUUCGGGUUGUAAUCCGCUUUCGCCUGUGACGAAGAGUGAGUGACGGUAAUGGGUAAAGAAGCACCGGCUAACUACGUG